CCUACGGGAGGCAGCAGUGGGGAAUAUUGGACAAUGGGCGCAAGCCUGAUCCAGCCAUACCGCGUGUGUGAAGAAGGCCUUCGGGUUGUAAAGCACUUUAAGCAGGGAGAAAAAGUUAUAAGUUAAUACCUUAUAACCUUGAUGUUACCUGCAGAAUAAGCACCGGCUAAUUCCGUGCCAGCAGCCGCGGUAAUACGGAAGGUGCAAGCGUUAAUCGGAAUUACUGGGCGUAAAGCGCGCGUAGGUGGUUUGUUAAGUUGGAUGUGAAAGCCCUGGGCUCAACCUAGGAACUGCAUCCAAAACUAACUCACUAGAGUACGAUAGAGGGAGGUAGAAUUCAUAGUGUAGCGGUGGAAUGCGUAGAUAUUAUGAAGAAUACCAGUGGCGAAGGCGGCCUCCUGGAUCUGUACUGACACUGAGGUGCGAAAGCGUGGGUAGCGAACAGGAUUAGAUACCCUGGUAGUCCACGCCGUAAACGAUGACAACUAGCUGUUGGAAGACAACGUCUUUCAGUGGCGCAGCUAACGUUUUAAGUUGUCCGCCUGGGGAGUACGGCCGCAAGGCUAAAACUCAAAGGAAUUGACGG
Molecule: ribosomal RNA, 586 nt
Filed under: uncultured bacterium
Lineage: Bacteria
Description: bacterial SSU rRNA
Rfam family: Bacterial small subunit ribosomal RNA
Source: RNAcentral